RNAcentral lists this long non-coding RNA (1471 nucleotides) under Callithrix jacchus (white-tufted-ear marmoset). RNAcentral's name for it is "lncRNA (ENSCJAG00000077677.1)". Lineage: Eukaryota; Metazoa; Chordata; Mammalia; Primates; Cebidae. The record is from RNAcentral.
AAAGAACCACAGACCGGGGGAGAAGGAGGGCAGGGUCACGGAGCCCGGCAGGCAUCUCCGACCUCUUUGGGGGCCUCCUCCUCCCCUCCAGCAGUGCGGCCCGGGCCGGACAUCCCGAACUUCAGCACCCAAGCCUGGGCUGCCGCCAGUUACCAGGGGCAAGGACGUCCGCAGCGCCCAGGGCGCAGCCCCCCUGGCAGCCCCUUUGCCUAAAGGCCUGCCUACCAAUCAGCGUCCCCAUCCCCGCCGGAGGAAAAGCGGAAAGUGGAGAUGACACCUCCGAUCAGGCACGCACCGGCCCCGCGGCAGCGGCCGCCGCCUCCUCUGCGCGUCAGCUCAGGCUUCUCCCGCUGUGAUCCGCUCACGUCUCCGCAGCCGGAGCCCUUUAAACAAGUCCCUGGGAAGCGGGUGGCAGCAGCGUUCGUUGGCGCCCCGCCGCCAGCCUGGGCUCCUCGCCCUCCUUUCCCGUUCCCCUUCCAACUCUUCCGGGGAGGGUCGCUCGGGAUGAAUAGUAGCGUUUCCAUCCUCCUCCCCGGUCCCCCAGCCUUCCCCCUCUCCUGCUUGCCACCCCGCCUCGCUUUUAAGGGGAUUGGGGAGAUUGCCACCUGGCCGAAUGUGUGUGUUGCAACCUUGAGUUGGCAGCGCAUCUCUGACUACCUACUCAGGAUCAAGGCUGUGGUUUUUUGGGAUUUUCUUCCUCCUUUGCCCCCUUGAAGUAGUAAUUAUUACUGUAAUUAUUAGAACAGCAAGGUUCGGCUGAAACUUUCUCGUUUCUUCCACCGCCGCCUGGGAGCUGCCGUUAGAGCAUUCCACCUGAGGCCCGCGGGAAGGAGGCGGGCUUUUUUUUUUGUUGUGGCGGUUGGCCCGCCUGUUUGUUUUGGUCUCCGUGCAUGCACAAUAAAUAAUAAUUAGGAUAAUAAUGAAUAAUCCCGGGGAAGGCGGCGCGGAGCCGGAGGGGUUUGCGCGGCGGCUGCAGCGGGGCGGCCGAAGGGAGGGGAAAGAGGAGAAAAGAGUUGUAAGUUAUAUUUACCUUGCUCGCGAGGAGUGUGCUGGCUCAAUCUCUUCCCUCUCUGAGUCACCCAGAGUACAGAAACGGAGGGAGAGAGGACUAGAUUAUGAAUAUGACUUCAUUGAUGACAGCCGUCCCCUCCUCUUCCUAAACUCGGGCUCCGCCCCGCGUCCCACCCUCGCCUCCUGCACGGGCGCCGGAAGACGCGCGGCAGUUGGCCCCGCGCGCCGCUCCUCCCUGCCCGCCCGGGCGCGGGUUGGCGGGACGCGCCUGUCACUCGCCCAGCUCAGCGACUCCGGGAGCGCGGGGGAAAGAGGGGGCGGUGUGCAAGAAUGUGGAUCGAGACAGCUCUACUGUAUGCGUGGAUCCGUGUGUGUCUGCAAGGCGCCGGCUUUCGGGCCGUGUUUGUGCCUGGAGCAGAGAAACUGCACCGUGGUCUCUUCCCUCUCACCCCGCGUUUAA